This 64-nucleotide transfer RNA is filed under the name Graptacme eborea. Its description in RNAcentral is "tRNA-Arg". The record is from RNAcentral. Lineage: Eukaryota; Metazoa; Mollusca; Scaphopoda; Dentaliida; Dentaliidae.
GGAAGGAAAAAAAAAUGUAAUAAUUUGGUUUCGGCCCAAAAAAAGGGAUUUAAUUCUCCAUUUU